UGCCGCCGCAUUGUUGUGUUCCCAAAUAUACAUCUUCAAAGAGAAAGAAAUCCUAUACAAGUCAAACCUUCCAUCGUUUCCCAAAAGAUCCUGUACUUCGCCGUGAAUGGAUUCAUAAAAUAAGAAGAGAUCCCGGUCGCCAUUUCAAGACAAGUUUUCAUGUGCGUGGUUUCAGUCAGAGGGCUCGCUUGGUGGGACUUACGGAAUGUCCGGACUGGAGCCUGGUAGAUUGGAGUGAAUUGGAGCUAGGACACGUUUUUCCUGAAAUCUUGUGUCAACCAAGAAACUCUAAAAGGUGGUCUUCAAUGUCCCUCACAACAAACCUCAAGGAAAUAGCAACGUGUUUUAACGACCAUCCUCUUUGCCACCACUACCAAAUUAUGGUCAUUGAACUCCUAGUCUCCAAGUCAUCAGGAACAUCAGGAAGGAUUAUUUCUCAGAGAGGAGACCAUAACAUAAAAUAUACUCUGUAGUUAUUAAUAUUGCUUUUAUUAUAAUACUGCUUUUAUAUAAAUAUAUAAUUAUAAUUUUUC
Esox lucius (northern pike) is the source of this 533-nucleotide long non-coding RNA. The record is from Ensembl. NCBI's taxonomy places the organism in Eukaryota, Metazoa, Chordata, Actinopteri, Esociformes, Esocidae.